Molecule: ribosomal RNA, 465 nt
Filed under: uncultured bacterium
Lineage: Bacteria
Description: partial 16S ribosomal RNA
Rfam family: Bacterial small subunit ribosomal RNA
Source: RNAcentral
CCUACGGGAGGCUGCAGUGGGGAAUAUUGCGCAAUGGGCGAAAGCCUGACGCAGCGACGCCGCGUGAGGGAUGAAGGUCUUCGGAUCGUAAACCUCUGUCAGCAGGGAAGAACGGUCACUGUGCUAAUCAGCAGUGAAUUGACGGUACCUGCAAAGGAAGCACCGGCUAACUCCGUGCCAGCAGCCGCGGUAAGACGGAGGGUGCGAGCGUUAAUCGGAAUUACUGGGCGGAAAGCGCUCGUAGGCGGUAUGUCAAGUCAAGGGUGAAAUCCCCGCGCUCAACGUGGGAACUGCCUUUGAAACUGGCAAACUGGAGUGUGUGAGAGGAUAGUGGAAUUCCAGGUGUAGGAGUGAAAUCCGUAGAUAUCUGGAGGAACAUCAGUGGCGAAGGCGACUAUCUGGAACAUAACUGACGCUGAGGAGCGAAAGCGUGGGUAGCAAACAGGAUUAGAUACCCCAGUAGUC